This is a non-coding RNA of Arachis ipaensis, 139 nucleotides long. The record is from RefSeq and is a predicted model, not a curated record. NCBI's taxonomy places the organism in Eukaryota, Viridiplantae, Streptophyta, Magnoliopsida, Fabales, Fabaceae.
UUAUCUCGCGUAUCCUAUUAUAGUAAUUCUGCAAUCCUAUAGUGAGGACCCUUUCGAGGAUGAUGUUUUCACUCUCCUACAGGACUUUUCUUUUCAGGUUACGAACGACGAAGUUCGGAAGAGCUUAUUUAUUUAUCUU